UAAAGCUGCCUCCUAUCACAUGCUCUUCAGGACAGGAUGAACACAUCCACCAAAAACCAUGUUUUCUUUGCAUCCUAACUGAAACAGCAUUAAAGGGGGAAAUGGGAAUUCAGCGCUGCCAGCUACAGUAUCUCUCCUAUCAGUUCACCAAUAAGGCCUGGUAGGGACCUGCCGAGCCUCUGGAUAAAUUGUAUUUUCCAAGGGUUAAUUAAGCUGUCUUGAGCUUCUGCAUGAAGAGGAACAAACUGGCACUUGCAGCGCUUUCUGAAACCUGCUGUCGACAUUACAGUCCCUGCUGCUUUUAGCUGUAUCGAUCCGAUGCCUGACCUGUGAAAUCCUUGAUGGCUGCUAACACUAGAAGCUUACUGGAGCUUUCCAAGGGAGCUUCGGGACAGCUUGUGUAGUCAGGAGUAGCAAGUUGGUGAAACCUAGAGAAUCGGCUUCUGAAAGCUUCAUUUCUAAAGCAUCAAGAAUAUUAUUCUCAUUGGAAAAUUGCUGCUGAUACCCAUCAAGUGCCUGCUUUCUUCUCCAACCAGAGCAUAAAGAGUCCAUGUUUUUACCCUCUGAGCGUGCCUGUCAUGAGAUGUUCUUCACAAAUCCUUAGAGACCAUAUUCUUCAGCUCCUGACCCAAUCUUGGUAAAUAUAUUCUAAAGUGCUUUAUUGAUGUCUAUUAUUCUUUAUACUUUUACUUAGUUGG
RNAcentral lists this long non-coding RNA (698 nucleotides) under Canis lupus familiaris (dog). RNAcentral describes it as "lncRNA (ENSCAFG00845012469.1)". The record is from RNAcentral. Lineage: Eukaryota; Metazoa; Chordata; Mammalia; Carnivora; Canidae.